Molecule: ribosomal RNA, 465 nt
Filed under: uncultured bacterium
Lineage: Bacteria
Description: bacterial SSU rRNA
Rfam family: Bacterial small subunit ribosomal RNA
Source: RNAcentral
CCUACGGGUCGCAGCAGUGGGGAAUAUUGCACAAUGGGCGCAAGCCUGAUGCAGCCAUGCCGCGUGUAUGAAGAAGGCCUUCGGGUUGUAAAGUACUCUUAGCGGGGAGGAAGGUGUUGUGGUUAAUAACCACAGCAAUUGACGUUACCCGCAGAAGAAGCACCGGCUAACUCCGUGCCAGCAGCCGCGGUAAUACGGAGGGUGCAAGCGUUAAUCGGAAUUACUGGGCGUAAAGCGCACGCAGGCGGUCUGUCAAGUCGGAUGUGAAAUCCCCGGGCUCAACCUGGGAACUGCAUUCGAAACUGGCAGGCUAGAGUCUUGUAGAGGGGGGUAGAAUUCCAGGUGUAGCGGUGAAAUGCGUAGAGAUCUGGAGGAAUACCGGUGGCGAAGGCGGCCCCCUGGACAAAGACUGACGCUCAGGUGCGAAAGCGUGGGGAGCAAACAGGAUUAGAUACCCCCGUAGUC